UUGGUGGAUCCGCAUGGACCGUCGCUGCACGGCCGGGUCUUGUGCCCGUCGCACUUCUCGCUGGAGCGCGUCAACAGCUGCUGGGCCUGGUCGACACGGCCGUGUGGAAGGUAGGCAGCCAGCUUGCUGGCCGUUGUUAUAGCCACGCGUGCCCAGGUCGGGCUUGGCAGAGGUGAGCGGUGCAUGCUCUCUCUCGGGAGGGCUGGCGUCCUGUUCCGUUCACGUAGCUGGCUCGGAUGCACUGCUUGCAGUACGUUCUUGCCGGUGAAAUGGCGUGCAGUCAACGCACACGAUGCACCAUGGUUGUUGGCGGCCAUAUGGCUUUAUCCGACCCGUCUUGAAACACGGACCAAGGAGUCUAACAUGUGCGCAAGUCUUGGGGUGACCGAAACCCAGAGGCGCAAUGAAAGUGAAGGCUGCCUAGCAGCUGAGGUGAGAUCUUUGCUCUACGCGAGUGAGGCGCAUCAUCGACCGACCUAUUCUACUCUUAGGAAGGUUUGAGUAAGAGCGUACAUGCUGGGACCCGAAAG
Molecule: ribosomal RNA, 530 nt
Filed under: Aurelia insularia
Lineage: Eukaryota; Metazoa; Cnidaria; Scyphozoa; Semaeostomeae; Ulmaridae
Description: partial large subunit ribosomal RNA
Rfam family: Eukaryotic large subunit ribosomal RNA
Source: RNAcentral